ACGGUGCAGAAGUAGUUGAUGCCAAGCUUCCAGGAAAAGCCUCUAAGCAUCAGGUAACACAGAAUCGUACCCCAAACCGACACAGGUGGUCAGGUAGAGAAUACCAAGGCGCUUGAGAGAACUCGGGUGAAGGAACUAGGCAAAAUGGUGCCGUAACUUCGGGAGAAGGCACGCUGGCGCGUAGGUGAAGAGACUUGCUCUCGGAGCUGAAGCCAGUCGCAGAUACCAGCUGGCUGCAACUGUUUAAUAAAAACACAGCACUGUGCAAACACGAAAGUGGACGUAUACGGUGUGACGCCUGCCCGGUGCUGGAAGGUUAAUUGAUGGGGUCAGCCGCAAGGCGAAGCUCUUGAUCGAAGCCCCAGUAAACGGCGGCCGUAACUAUAACGGUCCUAAGGUAGCGAAAUUCCUUGUCGGGUAAGUUCCGACCUGCACGAAUGGCGUAAUGAUGGCCAGGCUGUCUCCACCCGAGACUCAGUGAAAUUGAACUCGCUGUGAAGAUGCAGUGUACCCGCGGCAAGACGGAAAGACCCCGUGAACCUUUACUAUAGCUUGACACUGAACAUUGAGCCUUGAUGUGUAGGAUAGGUGGGAGGCUUUGAAGCGUGGACGCCAGUCUGCGUGGAGCCAACCUUGAAAUACCACCCUUUAAUGUUUGAUGUUCUAACUCGGCCCCAUAAUCUGGGGUGAGGACAGUGUCUGGUGGGUAGUUUGACUGGGGCGGUCUCCUCCCAAAGAGUAACGGAGGAGCACGAAGGUUAGCUAAUCACGGUCGGACAUCGUGAGGUUAGUGCAAAGGCAUAAGCUAGCUUGACUGCGAGAGUGACGGCUCGAGCAGGUACGAAAGUAGGUCUUAGUGAUCCGGUGGUUCUGAAUGGAAGGGCCAUCGCUCAACGGAUAAAAGGUACUCCGGGGAUAACAGGCUGAUACCGCCCAAGAGUUCAUAUCGACGGCGGUGUUUGGCACCUCGAUGUCGGCUCAUCACAUCCUGGGGCUGAAGUAGGUCCCAAGGGUAUGGCUGUUCGCCAUUUAAAGUGGUACGCGAGCUGGGUUUAGAACGUCGUGAGACAGUUCGGUCCCUAUCUGCCGUGGGCGUUGGAAGAUUGAGAGGGGUUGCUCCUAGUACGAGAGGACCGGAGUGAACGCACCACUGGUGUUCGGGUUGUCAUGCCAAUGGCACUGCCCGGUAGCUAAGUGCGGAAAAGAUAAGCGCUGAAAGCAUCUAAGCGCGAAACUUGCCUCGAGAUGAGUCUUCCCUGGGCCUUUAAGGCCCCUGAAGGAACGUUUAAGACUAAGACGUUGAUAGGCUGGGUGUGUAAGUGCAGCGAUGCAUUGAGCUAACCAGUACUAAUGAUCCGUGAGGCUUAACCUUACAACACCGAAGGUGUUUUAG
This 1393-nucleotide ribosomal RNA is filed under the name Serratia plymuthica. Its description in RNAcentral is "bacterial LSU rRNA". It matches the Rfam family "Bacterial large subunit ribosomal RNA", at positions 1579 to 2925 of the family's 2925-position model. Lineage: Bacteria; Pseudomonadati; Pseudomonadota; Gammaproteobacteria; Enterobacterales; Yersiniaceae. The record is from RNAcentral.